Magnolia sinica is the source of this 108-nucleotide small nucleolar RNA. NCBI's taxonomy places the organism in Eukaryota, Viridiplantae, Streptophyta, Magnoliopsida, Magnoliales, Magnoliaceae. The record is from RefSeq and is a predicted model, not a curated record.
UAGCCAUGAUGUAGACAUGCAUUUAUAAGUUUCCUUAAACCUCUUUCAAUAUUGGAAAAAGGUUUCUUCCUCUUUUUGUGAAAAAUUCCUUAUGACUCUUCUGAGGGU